Molecule: long non-coding RNA, 2538 nt
Filed under: Mus musculus (house mouse)
Lineage: Eukaryota; Metazoa; Chordata; Mammalia; Rodentia; Muridae
Description: long non-coding RNA chr11:56097120-56099658
Source: RNAcentral
UAAACUAGAAGCUGUCAAUUGGAUCCUGUCCAGCUGAUCAAUUCCUGUAUGCAGAUUUCCUUUAACUUUUAUACUGUUUGCCUUGGGUCAGUUUCUGUGUGGAAUGAAAUUAAGGGCAACUUGGUCUUAUUGUAAAAUGGAGUUUUAUGUAUUCGGAAGAAUGUCAGACCAAGGCCCCUUUCUUUGGUAGUUUUACAUUGGGUUGGAGAGAUGGUCUCUAGAAGAGACUGAAACAUACAAUUGAACAACCUAAUAUCAGGCUACGUCCCAGGACUUUGACUCUCAUGAAAUACCUGUUCCCUAGACUUCAGUCCCUCUGAACUGUGGGACCAUGAAAGGCCUACAGGAAUACCUAGAUCAUGCUUUUCAACCCAAAAUUUUCUUGCUUGUUUAUUUAAAUGUUUAUUUUCUCCCUAGCAUUCAUGAUGUAUGUACAAAAAAAAAUCUUUCAACUUGUUUAAGAUUUCCUUUAAGGGUCAAAAGUCAUCUAACCUACUUCCACAGGUCAAGUCAACUAUGCUGAUUACCAUUAUUCAACCUUUAACUAACAACCAGUUUCCUUUUAGAGACAAACUGUUACUGCCUAUCCCAGAUACACAACUAACAUGCUAUUUUCUUCCUCAACCAUCCAAAGCAGACUUAAAGGAUUCCUUCCAGGACUAAAGUCCUCAUACACCCUUGCUUUUCUAGGAUGAUAACAAUGAUUCAUGAUGUGCUCCCAAGCAAACUAUUGCAGGCUUAACGUUUGCUAUCCACGCUAUGCAGACAUCGCCCUGCUGGGAAUCUGCUCCUCUGUUACAAUUGCUCUACAGGUCUAUGUCCACACGGUGUCUGCUGCCACAGCUCCAGCUGAGACAGCGUCAUCUCCUGAGACCCACGGAAAACAAAGCUGCCUUCUUCCAGACACCUCAUCUGGCUGAAGACUCCCGAGAUGAAAUCCAGAGACACGUGCUAAACCUCACAGAAGAAAGACUUGGGACCUUCCAGCUACAGAUGAACUCUCUUGCCAAAGCCAAAUGACUGCUGAACUGGGGGAAAGUUACAAGAUAGUGAGAAAAACAUAGAGUCUAUCUAGAUUAAUUAAUUGCUGUUCAAAACAGAUGUUAUUACCCUCAAACAAUUACCCCGGAACAAUUGAUUCUAUAAUCUCUUGCCUUCCCAGCCCUUACCCUUAACCCUCCUUACCACUCUGGCUUAGUUGUGCUACUCCUCUAGCCUGUAUGUUUUCUUCUGAUACUUCCACUCUACCCCAAAUUUUCACCACAAAUGACACAGUCACUCCAAUGACCCUUCCCUUUAAAAAAAAAUGUAAAAGGGGAAUUUGUGGGACUGUGAAAGGCAGCUUGUUUCUGGUCGAGAGAGACUUACUCUGAAGACCCAGUAGAAAUUCUACAAGGGAUGAAACAGUGAGCCAUGCUCCCAGACAGACAUGCUCCCAGCAUGACACCACAGAGCCCUCAACUCCAUAAUUCUGUGACUAUCAGUCACACAGACAAUGUCCCAAGCUCCUGACAUUCUGGCUAGCCUCUAUCCUCACAGUUACCUGACAAUAGCCAGGUAUGCUCUUUCCCACAGCUACCCUGUAACUGCAAGAUAGCCCAGCCCACUAUAAAAGGGGCUGCUUGGCCCCUCCUCUCUCUUAAGCUCUCACCUCUCUUAUUCUCAUCUCUAGUUCUCCUUCUCCACUUCCAUUUCCUCCCUCUCUCCACGUGGCCAUGGCCAGCCUCUCUCCUUCUACCUUUUGUUUUUCUCUUUGCCUUUCUACAAUAUAGCUCUAAAACCAUAGAUUAUCUCUGCUCAUUGAGAUUCGCCAUGUUGGGACAACAGAGUGGGCUUUCCUCUAAAAAGUCGUGUCUAACCUCCCACCGGAAGACCUUUCUGGGCUCCAGCCAUGGACCAGACCAAGGACUCUUGCCCGAGUGGAAACCUCUUAGCACUUCCCUCUUGCCCUCUUCUCCCUUUGGCCCCUGGGCUGACCAAGCUGUCCCCGUAGCCCCCACUUUGUUUUCAGCUCUUUCAAGACAUACAGCGAAGUCUGGGAUGUCUGAGACUGAGAACCUGCCAUCUCUGGCCUCUGUGAGGCCCAGAGACCUCGGACUGCUCCCUCUCCAUGCCCCCUCUCCCCCUGGGUUCUGUGGCUUCCCACAGCCAGACACCCACCUGGGGCCACGUGGAGACCGCGCCCCACACCCCUCGUCUGUCUGCCCAGAGCACUGGAGCUUUGGCAGGACUUAGGUUCUCUCCCAUCCCCUUUAUUCCCCCAUGCCUGCUGCUCGACACUGAACUAGGGGCCAAUACUUGUGUUGGGACUACAGUUUACAACUCACUCCUUCUAGGUCUCUACUAUAGAUCAGACAGAUGAUCUGAGCUCAGCCUUCUUUUACUGGACAGUGAGCCUCCCAUCUAAGCUCACGACAGGACUCCCUAUCUUUCCCUGGAUGCUCUAGGAUGGCAUUGUAGCUUCCUACUCAUGACCUGCACACACAAAAACCAUGUUUGUACGGGAGUCUCUGGUAAACUGGAUGAACAUGUGGCAGU